ACCGCACAUGGUUCAUUCACGAAUUGAAGUUCAAAAUAUUUAUAUUUAAUGCUAUAAUAUUUAUAGCUGUUAAUACGUGUGUAAAUGACUUUAUACAUAUUUUAUUAUCGAUAAAAUAUACGUGUUGUUGGGUUGUGUUGAGGAAAUUAUAUAUUGAGUGAGGUGUUGAGUCUAUUGUUUGAGAAACAAUAAAUUGUUGAUUUGUUGAGAUAUAUUGAUCUGUGGAGAUCAAUAGGUCACAGGGGUGACCAUGGCAUCUAUUGGUGAAUCACGCUCUCGUACCGGGCUGGUGGUUACUAAUAGUAUUAAAUCGUGAACCACGCUCUCGCGCCGGGCUGGUGGUUGCGAUCAGUUAGAGCUCUAGUCUGUCUGCCAAAUAUUGAGUGACCUUAUGAGGGUAACGGGGAGUGACUCAUAAGUGUAUAAUAUAUAUAUAUAUAUAUAUAUAUAUAUAUAUGUGAGAGUGAGAAAGUAUUGAGUGACCUUAUGAGCGAAAUUGAGAGUAACUCAUAUGUGUCUAUAUAUAUAUGUGAGAGUGAGAAAGUAUUGAGUGACCUUAUGAGCGAAAUUGAGAGUAGCUCAUAUGUGUCUAUAUAUAUAUGUGAGAGUGAGAAAGUGAUGAGAUUUUGUGGUGGUCGUUGUGAUUGUGUUAUUACUACAAUUUCAAUUGCUGGAGUUGAAAUUGUUAUAUUAAAUUUGUGCAAUCCUUUCGUUUACUCAUACGGGCUGUCAAGCUCACCGGGUUUGUGUUGUUGCAAUCCCGGUACACAUUAUAUAUUUGUGUAGCGGGAAAUCUUACAGGUCAGGAGAAUCGAGAAGGUGAUCAGGCUGCCUAGAGUAGUGGUAUUUGAGUUACAGCAUUAUUGUGAGUUUCGUUAUGUUUAUUUAGAACUUAUCAAUUUGGAGUUUGUGAUAGUGUGCUGUAAUAAGAAAUUGAGGAGUUGAGUAUUAUAUUAUUGAGUGGUGUGAGGCGUGUCACUCUGAAGGAAAAAAAAAUUAGAUUGGUAUUUGUAUUCGUAAUUAUUCAUGUUUCAGAUUUGAAUUUAUUAUUCAAAAUUCGGGGCGUGACAUGUGAGAUCUCAUUGCCUCUGCAGCUUCUCUAUUUGUUGUUCAUCAAAGAUGUACAUAUCCUCUACUGUAUGUCACUGAAUUGUAUUUAUUAUACUUGUUCUCAUCAAUGUCUUUUCUUUCCUGUAUUUGAAUAUAGUUUUGUUAGAUUUCCUGAGUUGAUUCCGUUAUCUAGUCUCUUAGCUUUCCUAUCCCUAGUUUGUUUAUGUUCAGAAACAUGGUUGGUUUAUGUCUUUUCUCAUAAUGCAGAUGUGUCUUUGUCGGGCGAGGAAAAAAACAGUUUGGUGGAAAAGUUAGGAAACGCUUUUUGGGCAUUGGUAGAAGAUGAUUCAUUGGAAGAUGAAAUAGAGGAUUUGUUGGUAUUUGAAGAACAGGCUUUGUUGGACGAGCUAGCCAAGGCAAAUUUGGAAGAGGAAGAAAAGGAGGAAGAAAGGCUUCUGGUACCAAUUCAGUAGGAGACAAGAAACUCAACAAAAGAGAGGCUUCUUUCACAAGUAUAGACUAUGAAUGUGUAUAUUCAGACGACAGUGACUUUGAUGAAGAAUUUCUUAAAGAUCUUGAUUGCCCACCUAUCGAACUAGGAGAUGAAAUAGAUUGGGGAUUGUUUGAAGGACAAUGAGCACCAUUUUUCACACUGCCGUACCUUUUCUUUGGUGUCCCGGAGGGCGCAACUCUUGGACCUGGGUAUGCAUUAACCUGCAAGGAAUGUUAUGAGGAGGGUGGCCACCCUGACAGACCCUGGGAAGCGCUCGCUGUUAGAAAGGUGUGCGACUUUUGCAUGUGGCGUGCACAUUGGACUGAAGAAUGCCCAUAUCAGGUACCAGAGGGCGCUCGUGGUAAUUGAGUACAAACCAAAUAAGCACAAACCAGUGGCUCCGUGAUUAUAUGUAUGUGUAUAUUUCUAGUUUGCAAUGCAAGUCUUGCGUUUUAAGGAAUGGUGUUCCCUUUGAUCGCUUUCCAUUUAAUAUGUUUUCAAGACUAUGAUCUAUAUAUGUUUUGUCAUAUAUAGCCACCAGUGAUUUUGCCAGUUAGAUGACAAACUUUGUUUCCCAAGACUAUGAUCGAUCUAUGUAUGUUUUGUCAUAUAUAGCCACCAGUGAUUUUGCCAGUUAGAUGACAAACUUUGUUUCCCAAGACUAUGAUCGAUCUAUGUAUGUUUUGUCAUA
This is a long non-coding RNA of Rosa chinensis, 2234 nucleotides long. RefSeq lists it as uncharacterized. The record is from RefSeq and is a predicted model, not a curated record. The transcript has 3 exons. NCBI's taxonomy places the organism in Eukaryota, Viridiplantae, Streptophyta, Magnoliopsida, Rosales, Rosaceae.